This 1358-nucleotide long non-coding RNA is filed under the name Pogona vitticeps (central bearded dragon). Its description in RNAcentral is "lncRNA (ENSPVIG00000005997.1)". The record is from RNAcentral. Lineage: Eukaryota; Metazoa; Chordata; Lepidosauria; Squamata; Agamidae.
AUGUUCUUGUCGCCAUUUGUGUUUUUGGUAGCUGCAAGGAAACGUACUUGGUUCUGGUGGGCUCAUCCUUACUCCCAUAUAUAUAUAACAAAAGCAGCUAUUUUUUCUGUCCAGCCUCUCCUCAUCGCCGGUAUUUCUCUGGGUCAUUUAAUAGCUUUCUAUUGUCAGUGUGCUUUCUCGGUCUUCUCUUUGAUGUCCUGUUCACCUCUUGCAGCUGAAAAAGAGAAAACGCAGCCUGGCUUUCUGGAUCGAAUUGAAUGGGAAGGGGGGGUAGAGAGAGAAAAGGGGAUCAGGGCGGUUUAAAAAGAAACAUUCCUUUUCCUCCAGUUAUGGAGGUGUCUGUCCUCUUGGCUUUUCACUUCCAUCGCACCGUAUUUGUCUUGUCACGCUAAAGGAUUUUCACAUUUGCACAGAUGUCCAGCCGGCGUGCCUACAGAUGCUUGUUGUGUGCUUUUUGAAGGUCAAAAGCCAGCCGCAUAACCUUGUAAAGUGCAUUUUGGAUCACAUUCCGCUAGUUUUUGCCACAUGUUCUAGACGAUGUUUUUUCUUGAUCUGUACUUGUUUUUCCCCACAGCGUCCCUGAAAGUACUGAUGUAGAAUUCCAGUUGCCUUCCUCACUGAGGGAUGGCGGCCGUUGUAGUCUUUAACACACAAGGGUGCCUUGUGCAGGUGGGAGCAGACAUCACUUUAGUGCACCUCUCUGGCCUCUAUUUGUGCAUUUCCAAUGUUAUAUUCAACGCUGACGGUGGAGUUUUCCUGCCACCACCUCUCCUUCAUUCAGGUUAGGCUGUGUUUAUGGUUCUCUCUCUUGCACAGAGCGCACACAUGCGCACAGAGGAGCAAGAGCACAUAUUUUCUCCUCUGACACAUAGCAAGGCAGCGCCUGUUUGUUUGGGCACUCCUGCAUACUUCAAAUUCAGUUUAAAACUUGAAUACAUUUGAGAAAGGAAGAUGCUGUCAUGGGGGCCUGUUUGACAGGCAGGUUCUCCAAAGAGGGGACGGGACUGUGAAGUUCAAGUUGAGAACCAAUCAUUCCUGUGAGCCCAAGAAAGGAUUUUCUCGACAACUGUGAGUGGGUAGAAGAAACGGGACCCCCCAGGGCAUGCUUGUAUCGCCACGCUGUGCUGGAAUGCCGUUUUUUUGCUCUGGAGAGAGACACCCCCCUCCCGCCCUUGCCGCUCUGUCUAAAGGACCUUUUCCACAAUAGUUAUAUGUUUAAAACGUUUCGCCGAGGACCAACGCUGUGGGGAGGUAGAUGCCAAACGGUAAUUAUAAAGCGCAGAAGAGCAAAAAAUAUAUUAAAAAUUGCAUUUCCACUUUGCAGCUAUAAAAAUAAAGACCAAGUUACUAAAAACUCA